Molecule: unclassified non-coding RNA, 2355 nt
Filed under: Drosophila pseudoobscura pseudoobscura
Lineage: Eukaryota; Metazoa; Arthropoda; Insecta; Diptera; Drosophilidae
Description: GA21642
Source: RNAcentral
UGCUCUGCAACUCGGCGAGUGGCAGGCAAAAAUUUCGCGAAAUUGCAAUUUGCAACUUGGGCCAAACUUACUGGCCCACCGGAAAGAUGGCUAAGAAAAUGUACAAUGCUAUUCCCGCCGGCUUCGAGGACGACGAGGAUACACUGGAAGACUACAUGAUAAAUUUGAAAAUAAAGCGCUUGGAGAACAUCACAACAGGUGCUGGAAUUAAUGGAACAAACUUUGAUGCCACCCUGGACGCUGAAGCACAGGAGUUCUUUACGGUGUUUCGCCAUAAAUGGAAUAUGUACAGCAAGAACAAGUCGCCCCACCUGGGCCGGGACCUCGGCAAUGAACUGAAGGACCACAAGGAGCCGCUGCUGCUGGCCCUCAAGAUCUUUGCCAAUUGUCCCGACUGCAGCAACAUAAAGCCGAAAAGCCUGUCACACUUUGUGCUGGAUACAGUGUGCAAGCUGCACAUGGAUUAUCCGCAGCUUGUUUGUGAUCAGAACACCAGCAUGAUAGCGUUUAAUUUCGUUAAGACCUCGGGCGUGCUCUCACUCAACAAUGCCAUAAUCGAGACGUACCGCCUGCAUCAGAUACGCAAUCUGCUGCUGCCAAAGCUGCGCGAGAUGCUGGACUCUGGCCUGUACAAGGAGGUGGCUCAGUGGGCCAUCAGCUUGCAGGUGGCAAACGAAUUUGAUAUGCUGGAGCUGGCGUUUCCACUGAUUGCACAGGAGAAGCUGCCGCUGGUCGAAGAGUACCUGGAGCAAGCGACAGCACAACGUCAGCCGCUUGUUAAGUUUCUUGACUCGCUGCUGCACAAAGAUAAGUCGGUCUUUGAACUCUGCGAGCCCAUUCUGAACCGCUACAAGAACGUUAAGAUCUCGCAUAAUGUCCUGAGCUAUCGCCCCAUGUCGAAGAUGGUGGCGCGUCUGGCCAAGAAGUACGGCUUCGACGAAGGCGUCACGCCGAACUACAAGUUCACAAAAACCUGCGGCUACUUGCAUUAUCUGUUCCGCGAGUACGAGAAGUCGCGUAUAAAUCAGGCCAGCUUUCGGGAGAUGGUUAGCGUGCAUGCCUCCGAUUAUGCUCUCCAGGUGGACUUUGUCAAGUAUGUGGCGGGGGCACAAGAUUCACGCAACGAAGCUGUGUACUGGUACAAAGAGUUUAAGCUAAAUCCCAAGGAUUGUCCGCAAGACAUUCUAUCGCGGAUCUCACGCGGCAUCGACGAAGAAGAAGCGCCCCAAGCCCCUGAUGAUAAUGGGGCCACAUCUUCGGCCACCGGCUGUGAUAUGUACCUGACCAUGGAUUUGGCAGACGAUUGCCUCAUCACCGUGGACACGGCCACACAAUUCGACCUUAUGCUUGGCCAUCUGCAGCGCGAACAUAUCAUCUACAUGGACUCGGAGUGGGUGCAAAAUGUGUGCGGCGAGAGCCAGCUCUGUCUGCUGCAGAUUGCCACCGUGCGCAAUGUCUACCUGAUCGAUUGCCUGGCCAGGCAGAGCAUCACAGCGGAUCAUUGGCGUGCCCUCGGAGCGGAUGUAUUCAACAACAUGAACAUCCUGAAGGUGGGCUUCUCCAUGUACAGCGACUUGACGGUGUUGCAGCGCUCGCUCCCGCUGCAAUUGCGCUUACAGUUGUCACAUCAUUAUCUAGAUCUGCGCACUCUUUGGCUGGAGCUGAAGAAGCAACGCUAUGCCAUUAGGCUGCCAUUUGGUAAUGUGAAUCGUGCCGGGGAUGCCCUGUCGGAUCUGUCGCUGGUGUGCUUGGGCAAGAAGUUGAACAAGUCAAAUCAAUGCUCGAAUUGGGCCAAUCGUCCGCUGCGUCGCGACCAGAUAUUGUAUGCAGCCAUCGAUGCGCGUUGUCUGAUGCUUAUAUACAACACAUUGCUGAAUCGCGUGCCCAACAUCAGUACGGCGAUAGACAAGAGUAUUGCUAGCAACAAUUUCCUGAAACGCGGCGGCAAUGCCAAUGUCAAGUGAUGCGAUUUGGAUACGGAUACCUCUCAGCCCUUGUCUGGUGAUUCUCCUUGAAGCAAUAUAAUGCCACCAAAAACACACACAAAGGCAUGUUUGUUUCCCCUUACCCCUACCCUCUUAAUCUCUUUACGAAAAUCGGAAAAUCAAAAGUAGCAACCCCUGAAGGACGGAAUAUUAUUAAUCUAAUUUUUUCUGUUUUUGUAAAUACUUUGUAAUCUCAAUUCUCAUUCCUUUUCUAAUAAUUUGAAUUCUUUUUUACUUUUUCCUGUUAUACGAAAACGAAUUUUUUAUUGUAUUUUACAUAAAAAUAUAAUCAAAAAAGUGAAUACAUAAUACAUUGAAUAAAACUGAAUAAUAAGCAGAGGUUCCUAGUUUCCAGGCUUCAGCAAACUAA